UUAAUUUCUCCUCCUUUUUGACAUCAUCAAACAUGGUUAACUCCUCUUUUUUCUGAAACAUUCUUUAAUUUCUCCCCCUUUAGAGUUUAUCACAGAUGUUUGCUCCCCCUUAAUACAGCAAUUAUUAACAGCAAACAACAACAAAGAGAAGAUAAUGUUUCAACAAGGAGAAUAUAUAUAACCAAAAUAUGAUCGUCAUCAGUACAAAAGGUAGAAAAAUAAGUAAAAGAUGAUUCCAUAAAACCAUAAUUGUUUCAAUACAUAGUUCAUAAUAUAAAAAUUAACCAGCUAAUUGUCAAUACAUGGCCCCCAGAUACAGAUCCUAGAACAAGACACUAACACCUAGGAUCUAGUAA
This 356-nucleotide long non-coding RNA is filed under the name Elaeis guineensis (African oil palm). Its description in RNAcentral is "long non-coding RNA (EGUI_LNC009093)". Lineage: Eukaryota; Viridiplantae; Streptophyta; Magnoliopsida; Arecales; Arecaceae. The record is from RNAcentral.